GAAUAUUGGACAAUGGGGGGAACCCUGAUCCAGCCAUGCCGCGUGUGUGAGGAAGGCCUUUUGGUUGUAAAGCACUUUAAGCGAGGAGGAGGCUACUGUAGUUAAUACCUAGAGAUAGUGGACGUUACUCGCAGAAUAAGCACCGGCUACCGCUGUGCCAGCAGCCGGGGUAAUACUGAGGGUGCAAGCGUUAAUCGGAUUUACUUGGCGUAAAGCGCGCGUAGGUGGCCAAUUAAGUCAAAUGUGAAAUCCCCGAGCUUAACUUGGGAAUUGCAUUCGAUACUGGUUGGCUAGAGUAUGGGAGAGGAUGGUAGAAUUCCAGGUGUAGCGGUGAAAUGCGUAGAGAUCUGGAGGAAUACCGAUGGCGAAGGCAGCCAUCUGGCCUAAUACUGACACUGAGGUGCGAAAACAUGGGGAGCAAAC
This 423-nucleotide ribosomal RNA is filed under the name uncultured bacterium. RNAcentral's name for it is "bacterial SSU rRNA". It matches the Rfam family "Bacterial small subunit ribosomal RNA", at positions 359 to 773 of the family's 1533-position model. The record is from RNAcentral.